AGUAGUUUAAAUUAUCAUGUGUUUGCAUCGUUUGUUAUGAUAUCAUAUAUUAUUCACCUGAAUGAGGGACUUGAUAUCUUCUAGGCCAACGUUAUUUUUUUGUCUCAGAGAUUUGUUGGUGUUUAUAUGUUGACAUUUGUGGUGGCAGUGCUGCACCGGCAACUAUCUGCCUAUUCACAGAUAGGCACCCUCUUGUAUCAAACUGGCAACUAAGCAUGCAGCAAGCCUUGUUACUAAAUUUAAGCUUUCUAAGGUUGUUGAUAUUCUACCACAAAGGGAGGAAAGAUUAGGCUGCUAAAUUUGAGAUGUUGGGCUUAUUCUGGAACUUAUCAACAACGUUGCUGAAACACAUGGUGGCUCACCCAUUUGUGUUUCAUCUUGGCUGACAACAAAUAUGCUCUUCUACAUACGCCUCUAUGGUCAAAUGAAUGAGCCACCGGAUUCUCGUGCCCGUGUUGGUUUUACUUGACUGACUAUAGUAGAACACUAAGAUUUUAUUAGCAACUUUUUUUGUUUCAUAAUAUUUUUGUAUCGAAUUCAUACAUGGUUGA
Long non-coding RNA from Spinacia oleracea (spinach), 551 nucleotides. RefSeq lists it as uncharacterized. Lineage: Eukaryota; Viridiplantae; Streptophyta; Magnoliopsida; Caryophyllales; Amaranthaceae. The record is from RefSeq and is a predicted model, not a curated record. The transcript has 3 exons.